AGUGGAGCACUGUUGAGGGCGUCACAGACAACGUCCAUUGUCGGUGUGGGCAGGGAAGGCGUUUAAGCCGUCUUUGCCGAGGACCGCGGAACGUUCUUUCGUUCUUGUCUUAACGGCAGGAAUUACAGAAAUUAUGAUCUGAUCUGAUCUGAUUUUAAAAUUGAAAGAGGAUAGUAUGAGAAUAUUAUUCUUUCGCCGCGUUUCUUUCCCCUUGUUGCGUUUUUGCGCCUUCUCAAGAACGUAUUGCGACAUAGUGUGCCAAAUUGGGUUCAAACCGGAACCAACCGGUGUCUUGGGUACGAGGUGAAAUGUGCAAAAGGGUGUGAGUUACACAAGGUCGGAGAGCGGACAGGCAGAUUUUUAGAAGUUUAUUUCAUUGUUUUGUGACAUACCCACGACAUAUGUUCAAGGUUCAGCGAAUACUUGAAUAAUAGGUUGGUACAACAGGCUCUGCCUCUUAUGCAGGGUUGUUCUGAGAACUGCUCCUAUUCAGAUAAUUUGUAAAUUGAAAAACCUUUUUUUUGGUUACGCGAGGAAGACUUUUUUCUCCUAGCCUGUUUACUCAUUAAAUAUUUACUGAGGCUAACUUUGUACCAAGCUCUGUACUAGGGAUACAUACAAAUAAAAGAUAACAUUGUACCGUUGUUUUGGCAAAACAAAGGUACUAUGGCGUUUACUCUGCUGGAGACGAAAAAUUGACAAAAUAUUUGUUAGUGAUAAGUACUAAGAAGUACCAGGUUCCCUGGUAGCUCAGACGGUAAAGCGUCUGCCAACAAUGCGGGAGACCAGGGUUCGAUACCUGGGUCCGAUCCCUGGGCCAGGAAGAUCCCCUGGAGAAGGAAAUGGCAACGCACUCCAGUACUCUUGCCUGGAAAAUCCCAUGGACUGAGGAGCCUGGUAGGCUACAGUCCAUAGGGUCGCAAAGAGUUGGACACGACCGAGCAACUUCACUAAGAAGAAAAAGCUGCGUGAAACACUAGAGGGGCGGUAUUUCGAUAAAGCCCCAUGGACUGUAGCCUGCCAGGCUCCUCUGUCCAUGGAAUUUUCCAGGCAAGACUAUUGGAGCGGGUUUCUGGUCAUCUGUUGAUGGAGGCGUCCAUACUUUGGCAAUUAUCCAGUCCAGAACACCACAUUGCGUUGGAUUGCCAUGCCGCUUCAGUAUUUUCUUAUCUGGGAUUGUUUUGCAGACUUUGUCUUUCCUGACCUUUGCACCUUCACACGUCUGCAAUGUGCUGAUCGGGUGUUUUGUAGCUGUCC
This is a long non-coding RNA of Bos taurus (domestic cattle), 1257 nucleotides long. Lineage: Eukaryota; Metazoa; Chordata; Mammalia; Artiodactyla; Bovidae. The record is from Ensembl.